This 402-nucleotide ribosomal RNA is filed under the name uncultured prokaryote. RNAcentral describes it as "bacterial SSU rRNA". It matches the Rfam family "Bacterial small subunit ribosomal RNA", at positions 355 to 774 of the family's 1533-position model. The record is from RNAcentral.
UGGGGAAUCUUAGACAAUGGGGGCAACCCUGAUCUAGCCAUGCCGCGUGAGUGAUGAAGGCCUUAGGGUUGUAAAGCUCUUUCAGCUGGGAAGAUAAUGACGGUACCAGCAGAAGAAGCCCCGGCUAACUCCGUGCCAGCAGCCGCGGUAAUACGGAGGGGGCUAGCGUUGUUCGGAAUUACUGGGCGUAAAGCGCACGUAGGCGGAUUGGAAAGUUGGGGGUGAAAUCCCGGGGCUCAACCCCGGAACUGCCUUCAAAACUCCCAGUCUUGAGUUCGAGAGAGGUGAGUGGAAUUCCGAGUGUAGAGGUGAAAUUCGUAGAUAUUCGGAGGAACACCAGUGGCGAAGGCGGCUCACUGGCUCGAUACUGACGCUGAGGUGCGAAAGCGUGGGGAGCAAACA